Molecule: long non-coding RNA, 1863 nt
Filed under: Triticum aestivum (bread wheat)
Lineage: Eukaryota; Viridiplantae; Streptophyta; Magnoliopsida; Poales; Poaceae
Description: long non-coding RNA (TAES_LNC012725)
Source: RNAcentral
CUCCCUUAUAGAUAUUUGCUGGCUCCGCCACUGGCUCGUACUCGUACCACACCGUGGGAAGGUUAUGGGCAAGGUGGUUGAGCUUGAUGCCAAUGAGUUGGAGGUUAUUGCUUUGGCGACGCCGAAGGCCGUUCACGCGAAGAGGAGAUGUGCUUGGUGACGAGAAGUCUUAGACCACCGGUGAGUUUUGCUUCCUAUCAGUUCAGCAAUGUGUGUACAUGUUCAGAAUUGUUGGCUAUAAACACUUGAAUUAUCUCCAAUCAUGUACUUCAGGUUCUACCAUCUUCCAUAUUUACCAUGUUUUGUCACUUAACAAAAUUUACAUAACUAUUUUGUGUAUGUAUGCAAAAUUCUGGUUUAGAAACUUAAUGCAGAAUUAUGAACAAAAUUAUCAUUCAGUAUUAAGAAUUUACAUUUAUCAUAAGAAAUGGCAAACUCAUAGGUAUUUCAAUAUAGAAAUUACAAUGCAAUGUUCAGGGAAGAUGGCGAGCUUCUAAUUAGCGGUAACUUUAUUCUGUUGAAACCGAAAGAUAUGGAUGAGCCAUGAUAAUGAGUGUUAGGGGGUUGGACGGCACGACGUAAAAAUAUAUCAUUUUUACUAAAUAACUUCAUUUUCCGCAGAAACUUCCUUGCACUAAACUUACAAUAUUGGCUUCUCCAGAUGUACAUAAGCUAUUAGCUCUUAGCUCUAUUUAAUUCCACUCAUAUUUACGGAAGUGCUCUUUUGAUCCCGAGUUCACAAUCUCCCUGAUGAACAGUAAAAUCCAAAAACUUAGUUAAAGAAUUCAAAAAAAUUCUGGAUUUAAACAUCGAUGAAAGUUUUAACUUCCUGCAAAUUUUGGAGAUGAAAUAACAUUGGUGGAAGUCUGGACAAAAAGAAAAAAACCGAUGCUCCAAAAUGCUUCCGAGAACAAAUCUUUUGGAGCGUCGAUUUUUUUGCCCAGACCUACACGAAUGUCAUUUCAUCAAAAGCAUUUGCAAGAAGUUAAAACUUUCAUAAUUUUUAUAAAAAAAUCAGAUUAUUUUAUAUUUUUUACUGUGUUUUUGGAUUUUACUGUUCAUCAAGGAGCAUGUGAGCUCGGGUUCAAAUACUCCACGUCUUCACAUUUAUUCCUAUUCUCCUUUUGUCAUUUUUUACAUCUAGGCAUAUAGUGUUUUGCUGUGUCUCAAAGUUUUACCUUUUUAAAAGUGAUAUGUGUUUAUAUUUUAUGGAUGUUUUUGUUGCUGGUAUAUAUUCUCAAGUGAUAAUCAUCAUAUCUUGUCAAUCUCUAUGUUAUGAGAGGUAUAAAAAUAUAAUCGGAUCUAAAUUUGAUAGUAUGCUACCUUGGCCAAUAUACUGCAUCAUGUGAGUGCUGCAAGGUUGCACCUUGGAGCUCAAAAUUUGGUGUCUUCGCAUUGAAGGAUCCAAUCCAUCGACUUUGGAGUUUGAACAUGUCACUUGUGAUGGGGAGAGGAAGAGAUGACUUGCAUACACUGGACAAUGAGUGUGUUAGCAGCGUGGUGGCUCAGGACUGUACAAGUUGUAGUAGCCCCUUCCCUUAUAAAUGUUUUGUUUUGAUUGGAAGCACCUUAUAAUUUAGCUAAUAUAUGGAUUUCAUUUACAUCGUCUGUCCAAGUAUGCGAGGCCCAUGAGACGGGCAUUAAUCACUUCUCUUUUUUGUCAGUAUUUUGAUAGGGGACCUAUGUAUAUGGAAGGAGUUAGUAUCAUGUAAAUCGUAUCACCAAUUUAAGGAUCCUCAUGUUUUCUUACUUUUCAACACUUAUUUGUGAUUUUGUUCACAAGUUUUCAAUUUCAUUCUGUAGAAUGAAGAUAAUAUUUUUGUUGUAUUUGUCCAUGUAGAGGAUGCAAGACAUCAUAUUAAG